AAAGUUUUAGUAUAAAUAAGUAUGUUUUAUUGUCAAUAAAGUGGUUUGAAACUUUA
RNAcentral lists this transfer RNA (56 nucleotides) under Caenorhabditis wallacei. RNAcentral's name for it is "tRNA-Asp". The record is from RNAcentral. Lineage: Eukaryota; Metazoa; Nematoda; Chromadorea; Rhabditida; Rhabditidae.